UACGUAGGGUGCAAGCGUUGUCCGGAAUUAUUGGGCGUAAAGAGCUCGUAGGCGGUCUGUCACGUCGGCUGUGAAAAUCCAGGGCUCAACCCUGGACCUGCAGUCGAUACGGGCAGACUAGAGUCCGGCAGGGGAGACUGGAAUUCCUGGUGUAGCGGUGAAAUGCGCAGAUAUCAGGAGGAACACCGGUGGCGAAGGCGGGGUCUCUGGGCCGGAACUGACGCUGGAGGAGCGAAAGCGUGGGGAGCGAACAGG
Molecule: ribosomal RNA, 255 nt
Filed under: uncultured bacterium
Lineage: Bacteria
Description: partial 16S ribosomal RNA
Rfam family: Bacterial small subunit ribosomal RNA
Source: RNAcentral